GAAGAGCUAUUCUUUGUUCUUGGGAGGAGCAUGCUAGAAAUUUUCUCAAAGUCAGUCCUUGACUUUCAGAAAGUUCCUAGCAUGUUCCUCCUAAGAGCAUGCUCUCUC
Molecule: microRNA precursor, 108 nt
Filed under: Sorghum bicolor (sorghum)
Lineage: Eukaryota; Viridiplantae; Streptophyta; Magnoliopsida; Poales; Poaceae
Description: miR6223 stem-loop (sbi-MIR6223)
Source: miRBase by way of RNAcentral